This 495-nucleotide ribosomal RNA is filed under the name uncultured bacterium. RNAcentral describes it as "bacterial SSU rRNA". It matches the Rfam family "Bacterial small subunit ribosomal RNA", at positions 16 to 507 of the family's 1533-position model. The record is from RNAcentral.
AUCCUGGCUCAGGAUGAACGCUAGCGGCAGGCCUAAUACAUGCAAGUCGAACGAUACCAGAGAGCUUGCUUUCUGGGAAAGUGGCGCACGGGUGCGUAACGCGUAUGCAACCUACCUUAAUCAGGGGGAUAGCCUCUCGAAAAGAGAGAUUAACACCGCAUAAAAUCACACUUCGGCAUCGAAGAAUGAUCAAAUAUUUAUAGGAUUAAGAUGGGCAUGCGUGACAUUAGCUAGUUGGUAAGGUAACGGCUUACCAAGGCUACGAUGUCUAGGGGAUCUGAGAGGAUGACCCCCCACACUGGUACUGAGACACGGACCAGACUCCUACGGGAGGCAGCAGUAAGGAAUAUUGGUCAAUGGGGGCAACCCUGAACCAGCCAUGCCGCGUGCAGGAAGACGGCCCUACGGGUUGUAAACUGCUUUUAUACGGGAAUAAAUCUCGCUACGUGUAGUGAGUUGAAUGUACUGUAAGAAUAAGGAUCGGCUAACUCCGUG